GGAUUUAGACGCGCCGACAUAGGAAGUUGGAUCACCUAUAACGAGCCAAUUUCGCCUCAGAAUUGCGCGCGUCACGCUACGCGGAUAACAUGUUCCGAGUGUGUGGACGAUCUUGGUUGGAAGUGAACGAAAAAAGAAAUUUUUGUGAAGAUUCUACUUCUAUUUAGACGAGUACACGCCUCUAAAACAAUCAACUUUACAAACUACCUGUAGCUGCUACGAAUCAGAACUCCCACAGUUAAGUCUUCAUCGCUAGUAGCAGUGCAGAAAGAUCUAUUUCCAGCCUUCCUAUCGAAGUUAAAUUUCAAUCGCCAAUGAUACACCGCCACACCUAGCUUUUCCCUGUCGGUGUACCUCCACCAACCGCAACAAACUAAUGACGACGUUAAGAGUGCAGCCACAGGAGACUGUUGGAACACAUCGAUCAUUCAUUCAACAAAGACGACACACUGCACCAACGGACACCCUCAUCAUUCUCGAUUUACACUACUUACAUUCAAUUGUUAUCGUGUAACUAUACUAAGUAUCCUGUUGCAACCUUCGCGUGCAACAAUCUCGGUAAAUCACACCUACACAUUGGUCCCAUGCAUCGAACCUCAACUAGCCGUUACGGACGGUAAUUUAUCGUAAGAGCAGCAUCGGUACGCGAGUCUGUGUCGUAACAUUUGUGAGUGUAAAUUGUGUAUAUUGUAUAAUAAAGAAAUAGUACUUUAAACAAGCUGAUGAAACAUCAGGAGAAGAAUUUCAUCCAACAGUCCUGAAGAAUGAAAAUUUUAUAAAUUUAAUGACUCGUCCUCCAAAGAAAUCAAAGUAUGUCCUGGGAUUAAUUAAGAUGGUUACUUUGGAUGAAGAAGCUGGUGAAAGACAGUUGGAAGGGGAAAGAAGAGAACGUAGACCGACCUAUACUGAGAAUGAGAACCGUAAUAAGCAAAUUGAAACUGUUCAACUGUAGACAAUUACGGUAAUAAUUACGGCAAAGUGAUGGGGAUUAGUGUGACGUGACCUAGAUUCAUGGAAAAGGUUAGGAACUGGGCGAAUGCUCUUCGAAUGGAACUCAGCUUAAAAUAUACUUGUGGCCGACGUGCAUAAACUAAUCUUAGCUAUUAAAUGACGAUGGCUAGUCAUUUAUACCGAGUUUAACUGCAAUUUAAUGUAAGAUUUAGUGACAUAGAGUACAAAUUUGUAUAAAACUGUAUAACUAUUUUAUUCUUUUUAAAUCGUUACUAAAAUUUAGGAACAAUAAAAUAAGAAGACAUGCACAUGUAUCCAUAAAAUAAAAUAAAAUUGUAGGUGAUUGUAAAUUUGCAAGAACAAUACAGUAUUUGACGAAGAAAUACAAGUAAUAAUGACAGGUUGUAAUCCCAUCCCCU
This is a long non-coding RNA of Hylaeus volcanicus, 1370 nucleotides long. RefSeq lists it as uncharacterized. The record is from RefSeq and is a predicted model, not a curated record. The transcript has 3 exons. NCBI's taxonomy places the organism in Eukaryota, Metazoa, Arthropoda, Insecta, Hymenoptera, Colletidae.